CCUACGGGUGGCAGCAGUGGGGAAUAUUGCACAAUGGGGGAAACCCUGAUGCAGCGACGCCGCGUGAGUGAAGAAGUAAUUCGUUAUGUAAAGCUCUAUCAGCAGGGAAGAAAAUGACGGUACCUGAGUAAGAAGCCCCGGCUAACUACGUGCCAGCAGCCGCGGGAAUACGUAGGGGGCCAGCGGUACCCGGAUUUAUUGGGUGUAAAGGGAGCGUAGACGGCAGUGCAAGUCUGGAGUGAAAGGCGGGGGGUCAACCCCCGGACUGCUCUGGAAACUGUACGGCUGGAGUGCAGGAGAGGUAAGUGGAAUGCCUAGUGUAGCGGUGAAAUGCGUAGAUAUUAGGAGGAACUCCAGUGGCGAAGGCGGCUUACUGGACUGUAACUGACGCUGAGGCUCGAAAGCGUGGGGAGCGAACAGGAUUAGAUACCCGGGUAGUC
This 440-nucleotide ribosomal RNA is filed under the name uncultured bacterium. Its description in RNAcentral is "partial 16S ribosomal RNA". It matches the Rfam family "Bacterial small subunit ribosomal RNA", at positions 338 to 795 of the family's 1533-position model. The record is from RNAcentral.